GACACUAUAGCUCAGUGGUAGAGCGUACGAUUGCAACUAAGUAGCUGCAAUCAUAUCGUGAUGUCCCGUGUUCGAACCACGGUAGUGUCU
This is a non-coding RNA of Mycena rosella, 90 nucleotides long. The record is from the annotation of a GenBank genome assembly. Lineage: Eukaryota; Fungi; Basidiomycota; Agaricomycetes; Agaricales; Mycenaceae.